AAAAUGGGGACAUAAUGGAGAUGGUUGAUCCAAGAUUGGGGUCUGAAUUCAACAAGAAAGAAGUGGUUAGAAUGAUCAAUGUAGCCCUGCUAUGCACAAAUCAAUCUCCAGCACUUAGACCUACAAUGUCUACAGUAGUGAGCAUGCUUGAAGGAGAAACUGAUGUCGAGGAACUCGUCAUGGUUCCAAGCACAUUAGGUGAUCCAUCAGGGUUUUCUACGGCCUUACAUAACAAGUUUGCUCGAUCUUCUGUCAAUGGAAGUUUAAGUGAAACUCAGUCCCUCUUGAAGUCAUCAGAGGGACCAUGGACUGCUUCUUCGUCUUCAUCGGCCCAGGAUCUUUAUCCAAUUAGUAAAAGCUGAUGCCACGAACCACAAAUUGUUUAUCAUGAAAAAUCAUGAAUAAGAAACAGAUUAAAACUAAACAGUCACAAAAGUACUUUUUAUAGUUAGUGUUUAUAUCCUACAGUGAAUGGAGUGAUUAUAUGUAAUAUUGACUUUGUUUAUGCAAAAAUAUAUAUUUUUAUUUAUAAUAAUAAUUAUUUAAGUUUUAUUAAUGAAUCUAGAAUAAAUAUGAAAUUCUGAAACAUAAAUACUUUGUAAAUAAAAUUAUAAAAUAGUUAUAAUUAUUAUGAGUAUUCAUAGCUAUUACAUUAAAGCAUUGUUUUUAAAUAUUUAUAUUCAGAGUUGUGAAGAGUGAUAUAUAUCAUUUUAUAAAUAUAAUGAAUAAUAAUUACAAUAAAAAACCUGUUAGUAAAAGCUAAGUUAAAUUGGAGUUGGAUUUCUUUUUUAUUACGAGAGUGUUUAAGAGUAUGAUAGUGGUUGCGGUUAAAAAUAUUUUUUACUUGAAAAUAUAUAAAAAUAAUAUUUUUUAUUUUUUAAAAAAUUAUUUUUGAUAUUAGUAUAUUAAAAAAAUCUAAAAACAUAAAAAAAUUAAUUUUAAAUAAAAAAAUUAAAUUUUUAAAAAACAUGAUUCGUACUACAUUUCUAUACACCACUUCCAUCUAUCAUGUAACAAUUGUUCCCAUUGAAAAUCAAUCCAAUUCGGUGAUAAGUCUCCACAUUAAAUCAUUCAUAAGAAGCCUUAAUUAUAUUUUAUACUUCUACCCUAAUCUCAGAACCUUUACAGACUCAAGAAAAAUCCUUUACCUUAGUUUAUCCAACACAUUUCCAUUAUUGCAAACCUUUAUAUCUUUUGUCAGAUAGGAAGCUAUUUUCAGUAUUUCUUAUUUUUAUCCUUGAACUUUCAUUUUACACAAUUGAAUCAUUUUUAAUUCGAAAUGAAAUCCAAUAGCAUAUUUUUUUUAGGAGGAAGGUUAAUUGAAAGGCAAAGGAUUAAAGUAAAAAAAACAGGUAAAAUAGAUAAUGUAUUUAAAAUUGGUUUGUUCAUAUUAGUCUCCUAUCUUUUUUUAUCUAUUAGGUAAUUGGUUCCUCUAAUUGUCAAAAAUUCAAUUUUGAUACGAAAUUUCAUUUUUAAAAUUUUUUCCAGUUCUUUUUUGGUGAAGGAGAGAGAGGGGAUCAUCAAAUUCCAACGUAAAGAAAGAGAGUUGUUGAUAGAGAUGAUUUUGACCACCAAAAUAGUAUAUUUUUAUGUCAAAUGGUUUUAUAUAAUAGGAAGAGUUAAGAUUAUAUUGUUUUACCUUGAAAAUUCCUACAAAAACAAAUAUGAGAUCGAUAAGAGUUUUGAUUUCGGGUUGAUUUUGAGUUUUGAAGUUCUUUUUAGCAUUUUUGGAGGCCAUAGAUUGGUUUAACAAGGGUUCAUAUGAUGUUUUCCUAAGUGUUUUGGGUCAAAAAUAUGUUGAAAAGGAGUUUUUGGGUGAAAAAAAAAACUAACCCUAUUUUUCGGCCAACUUGUUGCCGAAUUCUACGGAGCUCCGGAUGAUGCAUCAUUGUUUUUUUCUAUUUGUUAAUAUUUUUGUUCUUUUUAAUUUAAUUUCAAAGUGAAAAUUUAUUGUUGCCCUAUAAUUUAUUUUUUAUUUUGAUUUUAACCCUCUUUUUUUAAUUAAUAUUUUCUAUUUUAAAUUUUUUUAUAUAAUUUAUUUUUUAAAUUUUAUUAUUCAACAUUUUAUUUUUUAUUUACCCUUGGGAUCAUUAAAGACUCGAUGUUGCCUUGCUUGCUUGUGCUUAAACAAGUUCAGGAUCAGCACCCCCAAUGCCUAAGAGAAUUGAUAUGGAAAAGUUCCUGAGUUAUUGGAACAUUGAGUCAAGCCGAGCAAUUAUUUUUUGUUAAAACAUUGUAGUUUUGAUUUUUUACAAAGUCAGGGCAACUCAAUAAAAUCAAUUGAAUUUUAUAAGAUAAAUAUCUUUUUUAAUUUAAUUUAAAAUUUAAUCUAAUUCAAGCACUGCAAUUUUCUAAGAUCAAUCUGAAAAUCAUUUUAGUAUAAAAUAUGUUUAGUAUUGUGGUGUAAAAUAUUUUUUAAUAAAAAAUAUAUUUAAAUAAUAUUAUAUAUAUAAAUAAACAAAAAACAAUUUUAAAGAAAAAAUCACAGAAAGCUUUACAACUAUAUGCUGGAAAUACAAAACCCUUUUUUAAGGGAAAAAAAUGGUGAAAGGCAAACCCCAUGUAUUCCCAUUGUUUUUUUGACCUUAGCCCGUUUUUACAAGAUAAUGGGUCCAUGGAGUUCUUAAAAUCGCAGCAAAGAGCUAGAACAGUCAAGCAUUAGAUUCAUGCAAAUUCUUUGUUCCCGAACGAUCACAUGAGUUAAAUUGAUUAAAAAACACCUGAUGAGGAUAAACUAGUUUAAUCAUAUAUUUAAUUAAAAAAACUUGGGUCAGAUUCUAAGUUUUCCAUGUUAAUUUGUCAUAUCAAGCAGGUUUAAUAAUUAUGCACAUUACAAUAAACCCAUGACUAUAAGCAAUUUAGAGGCUUCUCGAUAGAAGUAUGGACUUGCAUUUGACCCCAACUAAAACAAACCUCACAAAUGACAAAUCUAUUUUAUGAAGCCUAAUGGACUUUUAUACAUUGAUUUUUAUAAUUUUAGAGGCUUUUUCUGUCACAUAUAAUACAUAUUAUUAUUAUUAUUAUACUAUACUUUAAUAAAAUAUGUGGAAAAACAUUGUGCAGAUACUAUAUAUGUAGAUUUAUUAUACUAUGGACCACAUUAUAGAUAUAGAAUAUUUGUACCGUGGAUGAUAUUGUAACACCAGGAGAGCAUUAUUUUUUUUAUUUAGUCAAAAAGUAUUGCCGGGUCUAGUUUGGCCACUAACCCAAUGCUAUUGGAUCCGACUACCAAUAGCCUUGAAGUCUAGCUGCCUAGCUAGAUCCAAUAACAUUGGGUCUGGCUCGGUAACCAAACCGAUAAAUAUUGGGUUUGUCUCGAUCGGCAGCCAGACCAAUGAUAUUUUCAUAUUUAUAAUUUUUGCACUUUUUUCACCCAAUGCAUAUUUGUUUUGAUUAAUACACACACACACUAAACUUAAUCACAUUUUCCUUGUCAUAUUUGGUUUAAAAAUUGUUUGUUUUUGAAUUUUAAAGGUGUAUUUAUCUUGAAACAUCGUUACAUUAAUGUAUUUUUUUAGUAAUUAUUUUUUAUAAUUUUGAGGUAUUACUGUUAAAAGUAAAAAAAAAAACCUUAUUUGAAUUAUUUUCAAGUAAAAAAUGCUUUUAAAAAAUAUUUUAUACCACAAUUUCAGACCCAAGGCUAUUGGGUUCAGCUCCAUAGCCAGGCCCAAUAGUAAUGGGUCUGGUUGCAGAGCUAGACCCAAGGUUAUUGGGCUCUCUUUAGAAGCCAAACCCAAUAUGGAGCCUAGUUCGGCUGUCAGACCCAAGAAUAUUGGAUAUGGCUUGCCAGAAAGACACAAUGCUAUUAAGCCUGGCUCUACAACAAGACCAAUGUUUUUGGGUCUGCCAUUCUCGCCAGACCCAAUAUCAUUUGGUUCUGGUAUAACCGCCAGACCCUUGAUUAUCGUGUUUGACUCUACAACCAAACCCAAGAAUAUUGGAUCUAGCUUGACUGCUAGACCCAAGACACUUAAAAUAUUCUUUAUACUUUUUAUAUUUGUUUUACAUUUGAAAAACAAUUUGUUAUUAACUUGCUAUGGAGCGUAAGCCAAUAUACUAAUAGCUUAUUAAAUCAUGUUUGUUUUUAAUAUUUUUUUAAUUUUAUUAUUUUUAUCCUUUCACCAUCCUAAAUUCAAAAAAAAAAAAAAAAACUCUAAUCACUUUACCUGUCAUUCAAACUUUGACCAUUAACUUGCAAUAUCAGCACCUUCCCAAUUAAAUGUUAUUUUAGGAGCUUAGAAUAACAUCUUUUUACUUUUAUUUGUUCUUUCAAAACAAAUCGAAACUUACGAUUCCAAGAAGAAGAUAGCGCUACGAGGAUAAAAUAAUAAAAUGAUGUUGUAAUCUAUAGAUCUUUUAUUUUUAUUAUUAAACAUUUGCUCCUAAACAAAUAGUCACAAUUUAGUCCUUCAACAAUUUCAAUAAAAUCCUUGCUACCUUUGAAUGGUUUUAAUACUGUCUUUCCAUCCAUUUCACGAUGUGUUUGCUGUUGCUUGAAUGAUAUGGAGAAUGCUCUAUGUGUUAAGAAAUAUAUGCUGAUUCAAAGAGAAUAUAUUUUAUUUGAUGUAAUUUUUCUAUAAUUAUUUUUUUUUUUUUUUUUACAUUUAGACUCUUUAUAAUAAAUUAAAUAGCGUAAUUAUAAAAACCCUCGUAAUAUAAAAAAUACAUACAAAUUUCUAUUUUAUUUUUUACAUUGAUAUUAGAGCUGGAUUCAAUAUAAAAAAUACAUACAAAUUUUUAUUUUAUUUGUUUACAUUGAUAUUAGAGCUAGUUUCAAUAUCCUAGUCUUUCAAUACUUUGGUCAAAUAUUAUGGAGGACUAGAAAACCAACAUAGAGCCAGCCACCUAGGAGAGACCGGUAGGAAUCCAACUUCGAAAUGAAAUUCUUUAAGAUAUUUCAUUUUGAGAAAUUAUUCAAUGCAAUUGGAUUAAUAAAUAUAUUUUACAAAGAUAUUUUAAAAAUAAAAUAGCCUAUCUUACAAAGAUAUUUUACAAUGAUAUUCUUUCGAAAUGAGUCUCUUUGAUGGUUUUGUGGAUUCAAAGAAUUAUAUAGCCUUUCUUUUCUCCGUUUUUGAACGUAAAAUUCUUCUUUCUUAUAGUCGGAUACUUCCUCUCCAAUUUCCCAAUCAUAUUUAUUAUUAUCAAUCUUCCCGUUGACUAAGAGAUAAGAAAAUGCAAGGGCACAAGUGGUCUAGUACAGACAAAGGUAUACUUGAAGAAGUGCGGGCUUAUAUAUAUAUAUAUAUAUAUAUAUAUAUAUAUAAGACAACGUAAGAAAGACCCCACAUCAUCCUGAAAGGUCAACUAUAAUGAUGCAUAAAGCUCUCUCCAGGCAGCCUACUAACUCUUAAAGUGGAUUGCAGACUAAGGAAGAUGGCUACUGCACUCUCUGAUAUAUUGAGACUCACAUCUAGCUUACUUAUGCUUAUGUUACUAAUGCUUUGCAUGGGAGCAAUUAACUUGGAGGCCCAAGAUGGGAGCCUUGCUCCUGAUGAAGGUACUAUAUAUAUAUAUUUUUUAAUUUCUUGGCAAGGCAUUGUAGAAGCCACCAGCUAAUCAUCCCAGAAUUAGAAGUUGAGAUUUAAUUUUGAUUUAUGCAGUGGAAGCUCUACUUGAAGUAGCAACACAACUGGGCAAAAAAGGCUGGAAUCGCAAUAUGAAACUGUGCAAUGAUACAAUUUUACCUCCAAAGCCAGAUGCUGACAAUAAAGUUGUUUGCAACUGCUCGUUUCCUGGGGGUGUGUGCCGUGUUAUUGCCAUGUAUAUCUCUUCACUUACCACUCCAUGCUUUUAUUUUCAAUUUUAAUUUGAGGUCUGAAGGAUUCUGAUGGGGCCAGUUCAGGGAAUGGAGGAAUAGUUGUGGUGUAUAAAGUCUCCUCAGAAACCCCAUUUCGAUUGUUGAAUUUUAUAUUAAGAAAUUCGGAUAAAUUCAUUAGCAAUAAAAUUAUCUAAAAACAAGUAUGAUAAGGAUAUCAAGGAAAACUUAAUCAUGUGGAAAAUGUCGUGAAUAGCAAAGAAAGGAUCUCCAGCAAAGAAAAUUGAGCAUCUGUCAGAAGUUUAGUCUUAAGAGUUUGAAGAAAAGCUGAGUUUGUCGGAAAAUAAUAUAAAUAUUUUCAUAUCUUGAGAUCUCGAAUCUCUAAGCUUUCACUUGGAAAGUGUUUAGGAAAUAAUAUAAACCUUACAGUUUAAGUCAAAAAUUUGGUUUUCUAUUCCAUUGGCUGUUUGUAGUUAUGUCUUAUAUUUUCUUGACAUAUGAUUGUUGAUUUGCAAUGGUUGAAAGUUUUGAAUUCUUACCUUGUAGUGAGGAAUUGAUGGGUCCAUGUGUUCUUGCAAUGCAGAUAUCUCAAAAGGCAAGAUCUUGAUGGUAGUCUCCCAAAGGCUAUAGAGAAACUACCACAACUUAAACAUCUGUAAGCAGCGCUUCAAAUUACUACAUUUCUACAGAUUGAGUACCGUGAAUUUGCAUCGAAUGAUUCGAUUUUAUUAGAAUUAUAUCUGCUCUGCAGAGAUCUCUGGGCCAACUACCUGAGUGGCAAUAUACCACCUGAAUGGGCUAAUACCAAGCUGGAAUUACUGUAAGAAAAUACUGCAUUCAUGUUUUGUAGCCAAGGAAUUGCUUACUCAUAAUUAAUAGAUUGUAUAAACAACAGGUCUAUCGGCGUGAAUCGCUUGACAGGAAAAAUCCCUAGCUAUCUGGGAAAUAUCACCACACUUAGAGCAUUGUAUGCAUUUUUCUACUAGUCAAUUUCUUGUCUUUUAAUUUUAUAUUUAAAUCUGUUCAAUUGUUUAGUCAGGAGUAAUCCUGAGAGUUGGCAUUUAUGCAGGAACAUUCAGAACAAUAUGUUUUCUGGAACUGUUCCCUCUGAGCUUGGAGGCUUGGUUAACCUGGAGAAUCUGUCAGUUCAUUCAACCUUUUGCGUUUGAAAUUAAGUCCUAACUGAUUAUUGAAUGCUAAGUGUUUUUCUCCUUUUGUGAUUGCAGAACUCUCAGUGCCAAUAAUCUCACUGGAGAGUUACCCCCGGCUCUUAUUAAUCUUACCGGAUUGAAGGAACUGUAGGUUCUCAUUUCACAUGGUUAUUGUGCAUCAUACUCAUUAGUUGCAGUAUUUGAUAUUUACUCUCCAAGUUUCUUGAUUCUGUGUUUUCCGUUCGGCGAAUGCAGAAGGCUUAGCAGCAAUAACUUCACUGGAAGAAUACCUGAUUUUAUUCAGAGCUGGAAACAACUUGAUACAUUGUAUGUGCUAGUUUCUAACAAGAAGUUCUGAAUCUCAUCAGUGAAGCAGAACCCUAACCCCCCUUUAAUUUUGUAUUAACAGAGAGAUCCAAGCUGGUGGUUUCACUGGACCUAUUCCUUUGAACAUCUCUGUCUUGACUAAUCUAACUGAUCUGUAAGAUAUUUGUUUUAAAUUUAUGGUCCCAGUUACAAGUUUAAUCCUGAACAUCUCACAUCUUUAUGUUGCCUACUAUUGAGCAGAAAAAUAAGUAACUUACUUGGAGAUGGUUCAGAGUUUCCCAACCUAGAAUCUAUAGCAGGCAUUAAGUAUCUGUGAGUUAUUCUUGCAGCUGAUACUCUCAUACCAGGAUCAUAUUUAAUUUACAACACAGUAUAUAUUUAGCUUACAUGAAAUUAAUGUAUAUUGCAGGCUAUUGAGCAACUGCAACUUGUCAGGAAAUUUUCCCAUAUAUUUGACCGGAAUGGCACAGCUGAAAAUUUUGUAAUUCACUCUGUCCCUUAUACAUCAUCCAUUGUGUCAUUCAUCUACAUGAAGAUUGAAGUGUGAAUCUCAUGGAUACUUAGAGCUGCUGUCUUUAGAUUGCAGCUACAUUAUUAUUUGUAAAUAACUUUCAAAAUGCAUUAUGAACCAGGGAUCGCAGUUUUGGUCUUUAAUUUAUUUUUUUUCCUUCUUUUCGAAAACAGGGAUCUCAGUUUCAACAGAUUAAAUGGUUCUCUUCCAACAAAUUUUGAUGGCCUAAAAAGCUUGGAGAAAAUGUAAGUAUACUAUAUUAUAUUACCUUCUGAAAUUAAUGUUUGCCAUAUGAAAGCAUAAUUAUUAAACCUAGACAAGUUGACAUAGAAAGUUCAGGACUCGGAGCCGAGAUUCCAAUUGAACCAUACAAGACAUUGAACUGCCAAACCUGAUGGGUCAAUAUGCAUUUGCUUAAAUAAAAAAGUUGACUUAAAAAAGUACGACAAAUAUGUUCAACCAAAUGAACUUGUUCUCCAGAUAGUCUUUUGCAAUGAUAGCCUUGGACAAAUGUUCAACCAAAUGAGUUGCUUUUUUUUUUUCUGCGUUCUCCCUUGUCUUUUUUUCUCCGUGCUGUUGCUUGUGCUAUUAUUGGAGAACGAAGAUGAAGAUGAUGGUGAUGGUUAGGGAUGUUUGUUUGGCUGAGAGUGGAGGCCAAGGCUGGUGUGGUGGUGGUCUUGGUAUCAAGCCAGGGAGAGAAGAAGAGAAAAAAAAACUGAAGGGGGCGUUUAAUGUCUAGUCUGAGACCAGGGAAGAAGAGAGAAAAAAAGCUGGGGGGAGGGGGCAGCGGCGGCUAGUGAUUCGGCCGCGCCCCUAUUUUUUUUUUAAAAAUGUCUUUAUUUAUUUAUUUUUUUGUAGGGUUUCUAGUAAUGGUUUUCUCCUAGAGUUUCCUCUGCCUCCUCUUCUGCAUGCACUGAGAUCUAUAUUUAGGUAAGGGUUAUCUUAAAGAUAAGGAUAAAAUAAUAAAACAUAUUAUAAUCUCUAGUAUUCGUGCAAGCUAACAAAUCAUAUUUUUCAUUGAAAUAAAUUUUUAAUAUUUUAAUUAUAUAUUUUAAACCCCGUAAAAUAAAAUUAAAACCAAUAAACAAAAUUAGGUUACAACACAAAUCAUGAGCUCAAAUGAUUUCAGAUGAAAAUCGAAUUUCCCAACUUGAAAUAAGCAAAUUAAAGGUUUGCCUUUGGAAACCCAAAAGUUGCUCCAACAAUUAGUGUCUGCAUUCUCUAAAGUAAAAGAAGAAUCCUCUCUGUAAGAAAACAAAUUUUGAUCAAGACAAGUAACCUUGAGCUUUACAUAUCAAUAGAUCCAAAUCUUUCAAAAUCCAAAGAGGUUGUAGUUUCAAAUCCAGAUGCUUCUCUUCAAACCGUUUCCCAAACAAAUAGGCAGUGAUAUCAAAAACUCCUCAAAAUAAUUUUCAAAGAAAAACAAUUUUUAGUAAUAUUUUUCAUAAAACAAUUUUCAAAAGAUUUGACAUGAGUUUCACCCAAAAUAAAAACCGACCUGACCCGAGAGUUGAAGUGAGACCUAGGCAACCCGGGGUCUCGGCGCGUUUUAAAUAGUCUAAACUCGGGUGACUCGACAUAACCCGGGUGAGACCUAAACUCUUUUUUUUUUCCUUUAUAUUUUUGUUUAAUAAACCUAAAAAAUAUAAAGUUAAUUUGUGAAUACUUGGUCUCACAUAUGUUUUUAUAGCCUAUACCUUAUAAAAUGUUUCGUAAUCUUUUCAUGUGGGAUAUAUAUAUAGACACACACACACCAUUCAACAGCCCAAAUACUCAGCAUUAAUCAUCCCUAGAAUGGCCUAAAGGACCAAAUUCCUUCCCAAAAUUAUAGUAUAAACUAAAAAAAGAAAGAGGUUUUAUUGUUAAUUAUUGUUCAUCAACGUGGAUUUUAAUAGUGAAUUUUUUGAAAUUUUCAAUUUGAUUUGUUAUUAUCUAUUUUUAGGUCCCCACACAAAAAAAAAAAAUCAAAACCUUUGUCGGAAGAAAACCAAUAAAUAUAUAACAGUGAAAAGAGGACACAGGGUACCCAGAAAAUGACCAAAGAUUGGUUGAGGAAGUUCAAAAAUACAAAGAUUAAAAUUGACAGUAUAUUUUUUACUGAUGAAGGCUCUAUUGAUAAAGAAAAUUCAAUUUAAGGAAGAAAAAUUUUAAAUUAGAUGUUUAAGGAACCAAUUAGAAUUUGUUUAAGGUCUAAUUGAAUUUAUGAAGGAUUUAAUUGCAAGAAAAUUGAUUUUUUAAAAUCAAUUUAGGCUUUAAUUGAAAGAAAUUAAAGAUUAGGGGUCACAUCACAAUUUUUAAGAUUUAAUUUGGUCAAAUCAAAGACUUAAUUGUGUAAAUAUUGAAGUUUGAUGGGCAAUUAGGGAUUGUUUUGAAGAAAUCCAAAACUAAGGACCAAACUGGAAAAUAAGCUAAUAUAAGGGUUGAAAUUGACUGAAUCAAGGGCUAAAUUAAAGAAAUUGAAAGUUUGUUGAAUAAUUGAGGGUCAAAAUGCACAAAUUCAAAACCAAGGAUUAAAGUGAAAAAGGGAACUAACUUCAAAGCUAACAUUUAAAUUUGGCAGGGAUACAAUUGAAUUGAUUCUUAAAACCAAAAUCUCAAUUGAGGACUGAUUUGGAAACAAAGAUUUUUUGGCGUCAUUUUUUUUAAAAUUAAACAACAAAAAUUUUGUACAAAAUAACAUCGUUUCAUUUACUAUUAUAUAUAUAUAUAUAUUAUAUAUAUAUAAAGACAAAACGAUGCCAUUUCGAUGGCAUUACUUGCCAUCUUCUUCUCCUAGAUGCGCUGCAGGCAGGACAAGAAGGUCUUUCCCCCUUGUUGCACCCUCGCAAGAGUGCAGUGUUGCGGCGACCCUUUCCAGGAGUGGAGAAUGAUGUUAGGGUCUUUGUUUUGUGAAAAAAGAAGUCGCUACCUAGUAUUAUAGUCAUUAGAAAACCUAACUGGUUUUUUAGAGAUUCUAAAGCAAGAGAUUGGUUGUGUAAAAGAAAGGUUUUAACACCCCUAGUACGCCUACCUAAGGUAAGCUGUUUGGUGUUUGGUUUACCUUAUAAUUUCUAUGGUGUUGAUGUUCUCUAAUUCCAUCAGUGCUUCUAAUGUGCUUGUUGUUGCCUAAACUUAUGAUAUUCACUAUUAUAUGUUAAGGUGGUAAAAGAAAACUAAUCCAAACAACCAUUUGUUCUACAAGCAGUAUAGAAUGAUGGAGAAUGCUCUAUGUAUUAGGAAAUAUAUAUUCAUUCAAAGCGAAUAUAUUUUACUUAAUGUAAUUUUCCUGUAAUUAUUUUUAGUUUCCUUUUACACUUAGACUACUUAUAAUAAAAAAGCAUAAUUAUACCAACUCUCUUGUAUAAAGUAGAUGUUUCCUAAUACAAAAAAAUACAUACAAAUUUCUAUUUUAUUUUCCUUACAUGGUAUUAGAGUUAGGUUCAAUAACCUAGCCUUUCUAAUAAUUCUUUUUUUUUUUCAUGCUAAUAUCAAUCAUCAUAGAGGAACAUCAACCAUUGAACAACAAUCCAUAUUUUUUGUACCAUUCAGAUCAUCCAGAUAUGGUGCUUAUCUCAAAGCCUCUUAUAUGAUGCAUGACCACAAUGAUUUUAUUGAAUGCCAAAUCCAAGCUAGGUUUUAUAAAUGGAACCAUUUCCAUGUCAUUGAAACAAACAAGCUAGAUGAAUAUGCCUCAUGGAAAAAAAUACAAUAAUAUUUUUUAUUUUUUAGAUUCUUAAUUCACUCAAAUAAGACAUUGCAGACAAUGUUAUUUUUUCAACCACAACACAAGAAGUAUAGGAAGACCUUAGAGAUCGUUUUUCACAAGGCAAUGCUCUUUGUAUUUUUCAAAUUGAAUGAUGAGAUAUUUCUUGCUUUGCUCAAGGUCAGUUGAUUAUUGCGGCUUACUAUAGAAAAAAAAAACUAUGAGAUGAAUUGGAAUCCUAUAAUAAUACCAUCUAUAUAUCCUAUAAGAAAAACCCUAGUCAUUUUCAAUCCCGGUGAAAAUUCAUAUAGAAAGAAAAUAAAAAAUAACGAAGUCUAAUCUCAAAUAAAAUAAAUAUCAAUACAUGAAACUAAAAAUAAAACAUGAGCUUAAAAAUUGAAAAAAACAACCAAACAAAUUCAGGAAAAUCUCCUAAACCUAAGUUAAUCUUCCCAAUCCGCAACUCGUGAAAUCCUCAACCCAUGCUUCAUCAAUAAGCUCAAUUUCCAGCUAAUUUAAUGUUCAAGGAUGAAAUUGAAAAAAAAAAUCAAAUUAAAAAAUUUAUCAAAGUAUAAAAAAUAACAAUUACAAGCAUAUGAAUCAAAUCUUGUAGGAAAAAAAAACUGAAGGAGAAUGAAAUCCUAAAAAAAUCAAUUUUAAAAACCAUCUCGGAUAAAAUAAAUAAUAAUCCAAUUAUAUAAAGAUGGACCAAAUUGGAAGGAAAAUCAAAUUAAAUGGUUGCUUUGAAAAUUUAAAGGGUUAAAUAUGGAAACCAAAGAAAAAAAAAGUGAAAAAAAGACUGAGUGAGUCAAUCCAAAGGUCUGUUGGCCAUACACUUUGCUUAGGGAUGCAGAGGCUAUCAAGAUGACUUGAAUGGCUACCCAUAAAUCAUUGUUAGAUUGCCAAACACCAAUAUGUGCAAUGCAUAUAUGAAUCACUUUGUUUUAUUAAUAUUAAUAUUUGUUAAAUGACUAAAUUACUUUUAAGUUAACUUGAUUACGGAAAAAAAAACAAUGAUAAAAUAUUAAAAUACUCAUAAAUAUCAUAAAUUUUUCUUAGAAGGAUAUAUUUUUAAUUAAGAAUAGAAAAACAUAGAUUUUUUUUUAAAAAAAAACAAAGACACAAAAUAAGAAAAGAAAAUAUGAAUUUUGUGAGAUGAUAUAAAGUAAAAACAUUAUCUCUUUGAUGAUGAUGAUGUAGGCAUUAUACCUUUAUUAUACCUUUUUAAAAGUGAUUUUUAUUUGAAAACAUAUUAAAAUAAUAUUUUUAUAUAUUAUUUUUUUUUGUUAUUUUUAAUAUUAAUAUAUUAAAAUUAUUAAAAAUACGAAAAAAAUAUAUAAAUUUAAUAUUUUUUAAAACAAAUAUAUUUUUAAAAAGUAUAUAAAAACAUUACACUUCCAAACAGAUUGUUAGUUUUUAUUUAUUUAAUUUUUUUUUAAUGGUUAUCAUGAAUUUAGAUGGAAGCAGGAUAUGUUGUCCUGGCAUGGGCACUGAAUUACCUGGAUUUAUUUUCGACAUAUGAUCAUGUUGGAAGGCAUUAAAUUUAUACCUAAUAAUAUUUCUCAUAUCAUUUUUAGAAAGUAAUAUAAACAUGUUUGUUGGGUUUUAUCUAGUAGUUUUAAUCUUAGCUUGAGGUUAUUUUUUAACAAAAUAAUAUAAUUUUAACAACUGAAUAUUAUCUAUUUUUAAAUUUUAUUGUCCAAUUUUUUAUUAAAUUAAUAAAAUUAAACACAAAAUAGUAAUACAAAUUCCUAGUUUAAUACAGUUUUAUUUCGGAAAAUAUAUUAAAAAAUAAUAUAAAUUCAUUAAUUAAAUAAUUUUUAGAAAUAAUUAUUUAAUCCCAAUAUUUUAUAUUCAUUUAUAAUUUCAUCCUUUUUGUCCAUGUCAUAUUCGUUUUCAUUUUGUUUUGAUUUUAAGAAAUAAGUACUUAGGAUAGAAAGUUUGAUAAUAAAAGGCAUUUUCUGAAGUAAAAUACUAUUAAAUUAAACAUGGUAAACACUAAAACAGUAAUGAUUUAAUUAUUUUUUAUAUGACAGCAAUUAAUUAAUUUAUUUUAUUAAACAAUAAACACUAAAUUCUAAUUAAUCAUUAAUUAAUGAAAAACAUUUCUGAUACCCUCUUCUAUUUUGAUGUAGGCAUCGAGUUAUUGCCUCAAAUUUGCAUGCCUACUCGAAUUGGAAAUUAGAUAGCAUUUUAAGGCCUAUGUUAAUUUUUUCUUUUAUCAGAGUCAAAAGAUUUACAGUCGUAUAUUAAUUAUUUAAUUUGCGUAUGAUAUAAUUUAGGAGAGAGGAGAAAGAGAACCGAGAGGGACUGGGGGAGAGAAACAAAACCAGGGAAGAUUUUGGUCCAUCAACCAGCAGCACCUCGUGCUGUUACCACCAUCGUCUUUGUCUUGAACGGAGAAGACUGGGCAGAGAAACAAGGGGGGAGGAGAAAAUAAACUGACUUUCGUUCCUCUGUUUCUUCUCAAGGAAACAGAGAAGAUUAAAGAAAAAAAAGCAACGAACAGAGGGAGGGAGAUUAUACAGAGGAGAGAGCAAACUUUGGAAAAGCGGAGGAACGACACAGAGACGAGGAGCAGCCCCGCCAUCGUCUGUCCCUUCAUCUCAGAACUGACGGUGACAGAAUCUAAAACCAGGAGCAAAGGAGACGCAAACUCAGCCCAUCGGACGAAAGCACAGAGACGAGAACCGGCGUUGACCAUCGUCUUCACAAUCUUCAUCAACGUCUUCAUCCUGCAUCCAGGUAAUCUUCUCCUUCUGCUUUGCAAUCUGAUUUGACACUGUUGCCGUAAAAUUUAAUUAGCCUUGCAUGCAUGCUUGGUGCGUGCCUUUGCCCAGCCGGGUCACUGGCUUGGGCCAGUGACCGGGCUGGGCCAGCUGGGUCCAGCCCAGCUCAUGUGGGCCCAGCCAAAAAAUAAAAAAAUAAAACAAGUAGAAAAAAAAUAAAAAAAUGUGUAUGCACAAAUAAGAAUAAUGUAAAUUUAUUGGGUUAUUCACUGACGCCAGAGUCAGGAAUAAAAAUACCGGUUUAAAUUUAUAUUAUUUUUAUUCGUUGUAUUUUAUUUUAUUUAGCUCGAAAAAUAAAAAAUAUAUGCAUGUAUGCACAAAUAAGAAUAAUGUAAAUUUAUUGGGUUAUUCACUGACGCUAGAGUCAGGAAUAAAAAUACCGGUUUAAAUUUAUAUUAUUUUUAUUCGUUGUAUUUUAUUUUAUUUAGCUAGAAAAAAUAAAAAAUAUGUGCAUGCAUAAAAAUAAAAUUAUAUUAUUUAUUUAUUUAUUCACUGGCGCCAGAGUCGGGAAUAAAAAAAAAUAUUGAUUUCAUUUAUUUUAUAGCUACGUAAUAUUUACCAACGCCAGAGUUGGAAAUAUUCGUAAUUAAAUAUUCACUGACGUCAGAGUCAUGAAUAUGAUAAUCAAAUUUUCAUAACAUAAACUAAUAAACAUUUAGCAAUUUAAGACGAAACUAGCAAUGCAGCCUGCUUCAGGCAGGAUGUUUAAGGGGUGAUAAUAUCUUCCCUUUUACGUAACCAGUCUCAAACCAUAUAAUCUUUGUUGACCAGUUAGGGUUCCUAGUGACCAUAAUACUAGGUGACGACUCCUUAAACAAGACUAUUCCCCAUUAAAAAACAGGAUGCCAGAAAUUUGUUCUUCCCAAAGAUUUAUUUAAUUUUUUAAGGCCGCCGUGAUGUCGGGUGCGACACCGUUAAUAAUAAUAAAAAAUUGAUUUAGUAUUUCCGACACCGUUAAUAAUAAUAAAAAAUUGAUUUAGUAUUUUGAUCAAAUAGUGUGGAGGACUGGAAAACCAACACACGGAAUCUCAUAGAGCCACCCAAGAGAGACCGGUAGGAAUCCAACUUUGAAAUGAUAUUCGAUAUGAUAUUUCAUUUUCAGAGAUUAUUCAAUACAAUUGGAUUAAUAAAUAUAUUUUAAAAGAUAUUUUAAAAAUAAAAAAAUAAAAUAUAUUAUGUCUGAAAAUAUAGCAUCUCUUCUCUGUAUCUUUUAUUUUAAAAAUAUAAAAUUCAUUGUAAAAUUAUUUCAGAAAUAAAUUCUUCUUUCUUAGUUCGGAUACUUCCUCUCCAAUUUCCCGUUCACACACAAAUGAAUUAUAUAGCCUAUCUUUUCUCCGUUUCACACACAAAUGAAUAUAUGAACGUAAAAUUCUUUCUUAGUUCGGAUACUUCCUCUCUAAUUUCCCAUUGAUAUUUAUUAUUAGUUUUGACCUACUAAUCUCCCGUUGACUAGAAAAAAUGGAAAGGCACAAGGCGUCUAGUACAUACAAACUUGUACUUUUAAGUGUUUGCUUAUAUAUACAUUUUAUAAUAUUGACUUGCAGCUUUACAGCGGCUUAAUAAUAAUUUUAUUUUAAAUAUAAAAUUAUAAAUAUAAUUUUAAUUGUAUUGAAUCCAGCAAUAGCUCUAUCCAAUAAUUUUGGGUUUGGCUCCACUAUACUUGGGUUUGGCUUUGCAUAGGCUUGGAUCUAGUUGCGGUCCUUAGAUCUAUCUCAUAUUACAAUCAUAUAAAAAUAUCAAAAAAUAUUAAUUUAAAAUAAAGAAAAAUUUAAAAAAAUUUAAAAUUUUAAAUGUAUUUUUGAAACGCAAAUAAUACAUGCUUUGAUAAGAAAAUUCAACUCAAUCUAACAAAACAUUAUCAUCACUCAACUUUUGUACAACAUAAAAAAGAUCACAUCAAUUUAUUUGCUCUUUAACAAUAUGAAAAAAUAAAUAAGAGAAAAUAAAAAAAUUUAAGAGGAAAAAAAAUAAAUUAAAAAUAUCUUAAAAAAAUUAGUUGUUAGUGUAUUGAGCACUGUUCUGCUAAGCGUUAUUCAUGAUGUAAUUGUAGAAAAUACUUUAGUUGGAGAUGAUAAUAAUGCAAAUACAUUUCGUGCUUUUAACCUAACUCAAACAUUUUUAUAUUUAAAAUUUUUUGUUAUCGACCCGCUGUGGAGCACAUGCCAAUAUGCUAACUGAUAUAUUAUUAAGUAAUGAUUAUGUUUUAAAAUAUAUUGAAAUAAUAUAUUUUUUAUUUUUAUAUCAUCACAUCAAAAUAAUACAAAAAAUCAAAAAUUAUUAACUUGAAUUAAAUAAAAAAAUAAAUAAUUUCAAAAAAAAUUUAAAAGUAUUUUUGAAAGGAAAAAAGUAACAUGUUUUAAUAAGGAAAUUCAAGCCAACUUGAUAUGAAAAAAUUAUCAUCACCUAAUUUUUAUACAAUAUUAAAAGAGUAAUAUAAAUUUAUUUUUUCUUUACCAUCUAUAAAGAAUUAAAUAAAAAAAACAAAUCUAAAAAUAAAAAAAAUAAAAUAAAAUUAAAAUAUCUAACAUCCCAAUAAAAUUCAAUAGUAUUAGGUCCGGUUUCCUAAUCCCACCUAACAGUGGUGUGCCUGCUGAAAGCAUAUAGACAAAGGUAAGAAAGACCCCACAUCAUGAAAGGUCGACUAUAAUAAUGCAUCUCCAGGCAGCCUACUAAAUAACUCUUGAAGUGGAUUGCAGACUAACGAAGAUGGCUCCUGCACUCUCUGAUAUCUUGAGAAUCAUGUCUAGCUUACUUGUGCUUCUGUUACUAAUGUUUUCCAUGGGAGCAAUUAACUUGGAGGCCCAAAGAUUUGAGCCUUGCUCCUGAUGAAGGUACAUACAUACAUAUAUAUAUAUAUAUAUAUAUAUAUAUAUAUUUAAUUUGAUUUUCAUACACUCUUCGAUAACGCAGUCAUCAAAUGUGAUUGUAUUUCCGAAUUCUGUAACCAUGUUAGUAAUGGCAUCAUGCAGUGAUUUUCUUACAGAAUUCUGUGUUUUCUGCAAACAUUUCUUGGCAAGGCAUUGUAGAAGCCACCAGCUAAUCAUCCCAGAAUUAGAAGUUGAGAUUUAAUUUUGAUUUAUGCAGUGGAAGCUCUACUUGAAGUAGCAACACAACUGGGCAAAAAAGGCUGGAAUCGCAAUAUGAAACUGUGCAAUGAUACAAUUUUACCUCCAAAGCCAGAUGCUGACAAUAAAGUUGUUUGCAACUGCUCGUUUCCUGGGGGUGUGGGCCGUGUUAUUGCCAUGUAUAUCUCUUCACUUACCACUCCAUGCUUUUAUUUUCAAUUUUAAUUUGAGGUCUGAAGGAUUCUGAUGGGGCCAGUUCAGGGAAUGGAGGAAUAGUUGUGGUGUAUAAAGUCUCCUCAGAAACCCCAUUUCGAUUGUUGAAUUUUAUAUUAAGAAAUUCGGAUAAAUUCAUUAGCAAUAAAAUUAUCUAAAAACAAGUAUGAUAAGGAUAUCAAGGAAAACUUAAUCAUGUGGAAAAUGUCGUGAAUAGCAAAGAAAGGAUCUCCAGCAAAGAAAAUUGAGCAUCUGUCAGAAGUUUAGUCUUAAGAGUUUGAAGAAAAGCUGAGUUUGUCGGAAAAUAAUAUAAAUAUUUUCAUAUCUUGAGAUCUCGAAUCUCUAAGCUUUCACUUGGAAAGUGUUUAGGAAAUAAUAUAAACCUUACAGUUUAAGUCAAAAAUUUGGUUUUCUAUUCCAUUGGCUGUUUGUAGUUAUGUCUUAUAUUUUCUUGACAUAUGAUUGUUGAUUUGCAAUGGUUGAAAGUUUUGAAUUCUUACCUUGUAGUGAGGAAUUGAUGGGUCCAUGUGUUCUUGCAAUGCAGAUAUCUCAAAAGGCAAGAUCUUGAUGGUAGUCUCCCAAAGGCUAUAGAGAAACUACCACAACUUAAACAUCUGUAAGCAGCGCUUCAAAUUACUACAUUUCUACAGAUUGAGUACCGUGAAUUUGCAUCGAAUGAUUCGAUUUUAUUAGAAUUAUAUCUGCUCUGCAGAGAUCUCUGGGCCAACUACCUGAGUGGCAAUAUACCACCUGAAUGGGCUAAUACCAAGCUGGAAUUACUGUAAGAAAAUACUGCAUUCAUGUUUUGUAGCCAAGGAAUUGCUUACUCAUAAUUAAUAGAUUGUAUAAACAACAGGUCUAUCGGCGUGAAUCAAUUGACAGGAAAAAUCCCUAGCUAUCUGGGAAAUAUCACCACACUUAGAGCAUUGUAUGCAUUUUUCUACUUGUCAAUUUCUUGUCUUUUAAUUUUAUAAUUAAAUCUGUUCAAUUGUUUAGUCAGGAGUAAUCCUGAGAGUUGGCAUUUAUGCAGGAACAUUCAGAACAAUAUGUUUUCAGGAACUGUUCCCUCUGAGCUUGGAGGCUUGGUUAACCUGGAGAAUCUGUCAGUUCAUUCAACCUUUUGCGUUUGAAAUUAAGUCCUAACUGAUUAUUGAAUGCUAAGUGUUUUUCUCCUUUUGUGAUUGCAGAACUCUCAGUGCCAAUAAUCUCACUGGAGAGUUACCCCAGGCUCUCACUAAGCUGACCGGAUUGAAGGAACUGUAGGUUCUCAUUUCACAUGGUUAUUGUGCAUCAUACUCAUUAGUUGCAGUAUUUGAUAUUUACUUUCCAAGUUUCUUGAUUCUGUGUUUUCCGUUCGGCGAAUGCAGAAGGCUUAGCAGCAAUAACUUCACUGGAAGAAUACCUUAUUUUAUUCAGAGCUGGAAACAACUUGAUACAUUGUAUGUGCUAGUUUCUAACAAGAAGUUCUGAAUCUCAUCAGUGAAGCAGAACCCUAAUCCCCCUUUAAUUUUGUAUUAACAGAGAGAUCCAAGCUGGUGGUUUCACUGGACCCAUUCCUUCAAGCAUCUCUCUCUUGACUAAUCUAACUGAUCUGUAAGAUAUUUGUUUUAAAUUUAUGGUCCCAGUUACAAGUUUAAUCCUGAACAUCUCACAUUUUUAUGUUGCCUACUAUUGAGCAGAAAAAUAAGUAACUUACUUGGAGAUGGUUCAGAGUUUCCCAACCUAGAAUCUAUAGCAGGCAUUAAGUAUCUGUGAGUUAUUCUUGCAGCUGAUACUCUCAUACCAGGAUCAUAUUUAAUUUACAACACAGUAUAUAUUUAGCUUACAUGAAAUUAAUGUAUAUUGCAGGCUAUUGAGCAACUGCAACUUGUCAGGAAAUUUUCCCAUAUAUUUGACCGGAAUGGCACAGCUGAAAAUUUUGUAAUUCACUCUGUCCCUUAUACAUCAUCCAUUGUGUCAUUCAUCUACAUGAAGAUUGAAGUGUGAAUCUCAUGGAUACUUAGAGCUGCUGUCUUUAGAUUGCAGCUACAUUAUUAUUUGUAAAUAACUUUCAAAAUGCAUUAUGAACCAGGGAUCGCAGUUUUGGUCUUUAAUUUAUUUUUUUUCCUUCUUUUCGAAAACAGGGAUCUCAGUUUCAACAGAUUAAAUGGUUCUCUUCCAACAAAUUUUGAUGGCCUAAAAAGCUUGGAGAAAAUGUAAGUAUACUAUAUUAUAUUACCUUCUGAAAUUAAUGUUUGCCAUAUGAAAGCAUAAUUAUUAAACCUAGACAAGUUGACAUAGAAAGUUCAGGACUCGGAGCCGAGAUUCCAAUUGAACCAUACAAGACAUUGAACUGCCAAACCUGAUGGGUCAAUAUGCAUUUGCUUAAAUAAAAAAGUUGACUUAAAAAAGUACGACAAAUAUGUUCAACCAAAUGAACUUGUUCUCCAGAUAGUCUUUUGCAAUGAUAGCCUUGGACAAAUGUUCAACCAAAUGAGUUGCUUUUUUUUUUUCUGCGUUCUCCCUUGUCUUUUUUUCUCCGUGCUGUUGCUUGUGCUAUUAUUGGAGAACGAAGAUGAAGAUGAUGGUGAUGGUUAGGGAUGUUUGUUUGGCUGAGAGUGGAGGCCAAGGCUGGUGUGGUGGUGGUCUUGGUAUCAAGCCAGGGAGAAGAAGAGAAAAAAAAAACUGAAGGGGGCGUUUAAUGUCUAGUCUGAGACCAGGGAAGAAGAGAGAAAAAAAGCUGGGGGGAGGGGGCAGCGGCGGCUAGUGAUUCGGCCGCGCCCCUAUUUUUUUUUUAAAAAUGUCUUUAUUUAUUUAUUUUUUUGUAGGGUUUCUAGUAAUGGUUUUCUCCUAGAGUUUCCUCUGCCUCCUCUUCUGCAUGCACUGAGAUCUAUAUUUAGGUAAGGGUUAUCUUAAAGAUAAGGAUAAAAUAAUAAAAACAUAUUAUAAUCUCUAGUAUUCGUGCAAGCUAACAAAUCAUAUUUUUCAUUGAAAUAAAUUUUUAAUAUUUUAAUUAUAUAUUUUAAACCCCGUAAAAUAAAAUUAAAACCAAUAAACCAAAAUUAGGUUACAACACAAAUCAUGAGCUCAAAUGAUUUCAGAUGAAAAUCGAAUUUCCCAACUUGAAAUAAGCAAAUUAAAGGUUUGCCUUUGGAAACCCAAAAGUUGCUCCAACAAUUAGUGUCUGCAUUCUCUAAAGUAAAAGAAGAAUCCUCUCUGUAAGAAAAACAAAUUUUGAUCAAGACAAGUAACCUUGAGCUUUACAUAUCAAUAGAUCCAAAUCUUUCAAAAUCCAAAGAGGUUGUAGUUUCAAAUCCAGAUGCUUCUCUUCAAACCGUUUUCCCAAACAAAUAGGCAGUGAUAUCAAAAACUCCUCAAAAUAAUUUUCAAAGAAAAACAAUUUUUAGUAAUAUUUUUCAUAAAACAAUUUUCAAAAGAUUUGACAUGAGUUUCACCCAUAAAUAUAAAAACCGACCUGACCCGAGAGUUGAAGUGAGACCUAGGCAACCCGGGGUCUCGGCCGCGUUUUAAAUAGUCUAAACUCGGGUGACUCGACAUAACCCGGGUGAGACCUAAACUCUUUUUUUUUUCCUUUAUAUUUUUGUUUAAUAAACCUAAAAAAUAUAAAGUUAAUUUGUGAAUACUUGGUCUCACAUAUGUUUUUAUAGCCUAUACCUUAUAAAAUGUUUCGUAAUCUUUUCAUGUGGGAUAUAUAUAUAGACACACACACACCAUUCAACAGCCCAAAUACUCAGCAUUAAUCAUCCCUAGAAUGGCCUAAAGGACCAAAUUCCUUCCCAAAAUUAUAGUAUAAACUAAAAAAAGAAAGAGGUUUUAUUGUUAAUUAUUGUUCAUCAACGUGGAUUUUAAUAGUGAAUUUUUUGAAAUUUUCAAUUUGAUUUUGUUAUUAUCUAUUUUUAGGUCCCCACACAAAAAAAAAAAUCAAAACCUUUGUCGGAAGAAAACCAAUAAAUAUAUAACAGUGAAAAGAGGACACAGGGUACCCAGAAAAUGACCAAAGAUUGGUUGAGGAAGUUCAAAAAUACAAAGAUUAAAAUUGACAGUAUUUUUUACUGAUGAAGGCUCUAUUGAUAAAGAAAAUUCAAUUUAAGGAAGAAAAAUUUUAAAUUAGAUGUUUAAGGAACCAAUUAGAAUUUGUUUAAGGUCUAAUUGAAUUUAUGAAGGAUUUAAUUGCAAGAAAAUUGAUUUUUUAAAAUCAAUUUAGGCUUUAAUUGAAAGAAAUUAAAGAUUAGGGGUCACAUCACAAUUUUUAAGAUUUAAUUUGGUCAAAUCAAAGACUUAAUUGUGUAAAUAUUGAAGUUUGAUGGGCAAUUAGGGAUUGUUUUGAAGAAAUCCAAAACUAAGGACCAAACUGGAAAAUAAGCUAAUAUAAGGGUUGAAAUUGACUGAAUCAAGGGCUAAAUUAAAGAAAUUGAAAGUUUGUUGAAUAAUUGAGGGUCAAAAUGCACAAAUUCAAAACCAAGGAUUAAAGUGAAAAAGGGAACUAACUUCAAAGCUAACAUUUAAAUUUGGCAGGGAUACAAUUGAAUUGAUUCUUAAAACCAAAAUCUCAAUUGAGGACUGAUUUGGAAACAAAGAUUUUUUGGCAUCAUUUUUUUUAAAAUUAAACAACAAAUUUUGUACAAAAUAACAUCGUUUCAUUUACUAUUAUAUAUAUAUAUAUAUAUAUAUAUAUAUAUAAAGACAAAACGAUGCCAUUUCGAUGGCAUUACUUGCCAUCUUCUUCUCCUAGAUGCGCUGCAGGCAGGACAAGAAGGUCUUUCCCCCUUGUUGCACCCUCGCAAGAGUGCAGUGUUGCGGCGACCCUUUCCAGGAGUGGAGAAUGAUGUUAGGGUCUUUGUUUUGUGAAAAAAGAAGUCGCUACCUAGUAUUAUAGUCAUUAGAAAACCUAACUGGUUUUUUAGAGAUUCUAAAGCAAGAGAUUGGUUGUGUAAAAGAAAGGUUUUAACACCCCUAGUACGCCUACCUAAGGUAAGCUGUUUGGUGUUUGGUUUACCUUAUAAUUUCUAUGGUGUUGAUGUUCUCUAAUUCCAUCAGUGCUUCUAAUGUGCUUGUUGUUGCCUAAACUUAUGAUAUUCACUAUUAUAUGUUAAGGUGGUAAAAGAAAACUAAUCCAAACAACCAUUUGUUCUACAAGCAGUAUAGAAUGAUGGAGAAUGCUCUAUGUAUUAGGAAAUAUAUAUUCAUUCAAAGCGAAUAUAUUUUACUUAAUGUAAUUUUCCUGUAAUUAUUUUUAGUUUCCUUUUACACUUAGACUACUUAUAAUAAAAAAGCAUAAUUAUACCAACUCUCUUGUAUAAAGUAGAUGUUUCCUAAUACAAAAAAAUACAUACAAAUUUCUAUUUUAUUUUCCUUACAUGGUAUUAGAGUUAGGUUCAAUAACCUAGCCUUUCUAAUAAUUCUUUUUUUUUUUCAUGCUAAUAUCAAUCAUCAUAGAGGAACAUCAACCAUUGAACAACAAUCCAUAUUUUUUGUACCAUUCAGAUCAUCCAGAUAUGGUGCUUAUCUCAAAGCCUCUUAUAUGAUGCAUGACCACAAUGAUUUUAUUGAAUGCCAAAUCCAAGCUAGGUUUUAUAAAUGGAACCAUUUCCAUGUCAUUGAAACAAACAAGCUAGAUGAAUAUGCCUCAUGGAAAAAAAUACAAUAAUAUUUUUUAUUUUUUAGAUUCUUAAUUCACUCAAAUAAGACAUUGCAGACAAUGUUUUUUCAACCACAACACAAGAAGUAUAGGAAGACUUAGAGAUCGUUUUCACAAGGCAAUGCUCUUUGUAUUUUUCAAAUUGAAUGAUGAGAUAUUUCUUGCUUUGCUCAAGGUCAGUUGAUUAUUGCGGCUUACUAUAGAAAAAAAAAACUAUGAGAUGAAUUGGAAUCCUAUAAUAAUACCAUCUAUAUAUCCUAUAAGAAAAACCCUAGUCAUUUUCAAUCCCGGUGAAAAUUCAUAUAGAAAGAAAAUAAAAAAUAACGAAGUCUAAUCUCAAAUAAAAUAAAUAUCAAUACAUGAAACUAAAAAAAACAUGAGCUUAAAAAUUGAAAAAAACAACCAAACAAAUUCAGGAAAAUCUCCUAAACCUAAGUUAAUCUUCCCAAUCCGCAACUCGUGAAAUCCUCAACCCAUGCUUCAUCAAUAAGCUCAAUUUCCAGCUAAUUUAAUGUUCAAGGAUGAAAUUGAAAAAAAAAAUCAAAUUAAAAAAUUUAUCAAAGUAUAAAAAAUAACAAUUACAAGCAUAUGAAUCAAAUCUUGUAGGAAAAAAAAACUGAAGGAGAAUGAAAUCCUAAAAAAAUCAAUUUUAAAAACCAUCUCGGAUAAAAUAAAUAAUAAUCCAAUUAUAUAAAGAUGGACCAAAUUGGAAGGAAAAUCAAAUUAAAUGGUUGCUUUGAAAAUUUAAAGGGUUAAAUAUGGAAACCAAAGAAAAAAAAAGUGAAAAAAAGACUGAGUGAGUCAAUCCAAAGGUCUGUUGGCCAUACACUUUGCUUAGGGAUGCAGAGGCUAUCAAGAUGACUUGAAUGGCUACCCAUAAAUCAUUGUUAGAUUGCCAAACACCAAUAUGUGCAAUGCAUAUAUGAAUCACUUUGUUUUAUUAAUAUUAAUAUUUGUUAAAUGACUAAAUUACUUUUAAGUUAACUUGAUUACGGAAAAAAAAACAAUGAUAAAAUAUUAAAAUACUCAUAAAUAUCAGUCAAAUAAAUUUUUCUUAGAAGGAUAUAUUUUUAAUUAAGAAUAGAAAAACAUAGAUUUUUUUUUAAAAAAAAACAAAGACACAAAAUAAGAAAAGAAAAUAUGAAUUUUGUGAGAUGAUAUAAAGUAAAAACAUUAUCUCUUUGAUGAUGAUGAUGUAGGCAUUAUACCUUUAUUAUACCUUUUUAAAAGUGAUUUUUAUUUGAAAACAUAUUAAAAUAAUAUUUUUAUAUAUUAUUUUUUUUUGUUAUUUUUAAUAUUAAUAUAUUAAAAUUAUUAAAAAUACGAAAAAAAUAUAUAAAUUUAAUAUUUUUUAAAACAAAUAUAUUUUUAAAAAGUAUAUAAAAACAUUACACUUCCAAACAGAUUGUUAGUUUUUAUUUAUUUAAUUUUUUUUUAAUGGUUAUCAUGAAUUUAGAUGGAAGCAGGAUAUGUUGUCCUGGCAUGGGCACUGAAUUACCUGGAUUUAUUUUCGACAUAUGAUCAUGUUGGAAGGCAUUAAAUUUAUACCUAAUAAUAUUUCUCAUAUCAUUUUUAGAAAGUAAUAUAAACAUGUUUGUUGGGUUUUAUCUAGUAGUUUUAAUCUUAGCUUGAGGUUAUUUUUUAACAAAAUAAUAUAAUUUUAACAACUGAAUAUUAUCUAUUUUUAAAUUUUAUUGUCCAAUUUUUUUAUUAAAUUAAUAAAAUUAAACACAAAAUAGUAAUACAAAUUCCUAGUUUAAUACAGUUUUAUUUCGGAAAAUAUAUUAAAAAAUAAUAUAAAUUCAUUAAUUAAAUAAUUUUUAGAAAUAAUUAUUUAAUCCCAAUAUUUUAUAUUCAUUUAUAAUUUCAUCCUUUUUGUCCAUGUCAUAUUCGUUUUCAUUUUGUUUUGAUUUUAAGAAAUAAGUACUUAGGAUAGAAAGUUUGAUAAUAAAAGGCAUUUUCUGAAGUAAAAUACUAUUAAAUUAAACAUGGUAAACACUAAAACAGUAAUGAUUUAAUUAUUUUUUAUAUGACAGCAAUUAAUUAAUUUAUUUUAUUAAACAAUAAACACUAAAUUCUAAUUAAUCAUUAAUUAAUGAAAAACAUUUCUGAUACCCUCUUCUAUUUUGAUGUAGGCAUCGAGUUAUUGCCUCAAAUUUGCAUGCCUACUCGAAUUGGAAAUUAGAUAGCAUUUUAAGGCCUAUGUUAAUUUUUUCUUUUAUCAGAGUCAAAAGAUUUACAGUCGUAUAUUAAUUAUUUAAUUUGCGUAUGAUAUAAUUUAGGAGAGAGGAGAAAGAGAACCGAGAGGGACUGGGGGAGAGAAACAAAACCAGGGAAGAUUUUGGUCCAUCAACCAGCAGCACCUCGUGCUGUUACCACCAUCGUCUUUGUCUUGAACGGAGAAGACUGGGCAGAGAAACAAGGGGGGAGGAGAAAAUAAACUGACUUUCGUUCCUCUGUUUCUUCUCAAGGAAACAGAGAAGAUUAAAGAAAAAAAAGCAACGAACAGAGGGAGGGAGAUUAUACAGAGGAGAGAGCAAACUUUGGAAAAGCGGAGGAACGACACAGAGACGAGGAGCAGCCCCGCCAUCGUCUGUCCCUUCAUCUCAGAACUGACGGUGACAGAAUCUAAAACCAGGAGCAAAGGAGACGCAAACUCAGCCCAUCGGACGAAAGCACAGAGACGAGAACCGCGUAAAAUUUAAUUAGCCUUGCAUGCAUGCUUGGUGCGUGCCUUUGCCCAGCCGGGUCACUGGCUUGGGCCAGUGACCGGGCUGGGCCAGCUGGGUCCAGCCCAGCUCAUGUGGGCCCAGCCAAAAAAUAAAAAAAUAAAACAAGUAGAAAAAAAAUAAAAAAAUGUGUAUGCACAAAUAAGAAUAAUGUAAAUUUAUUGGGUUAUUCACUGACGCCAGAGUCAGGAAUAAAAAUACCGGUUUAAAUUUAUAUUAUUUUUAUUCGUUGUAUUUUAUUUUAUUUAGCUCGAAAAAUAAAAAAUAUAUGCAUGUAUGCACAAAUAAGAAUAAUGUAAAUUUAUUGGGUUAUUCACUGACGCUAGAGUCAGGAAUAAAAAUACCGGUUUAAAUUUAUAUUAUUUUUAUUCGUUGUAUUUUAUUUUAUUUAGCUAGAAAAAAUAAAAAUAUGUGCAUGCAUAAAAAUAAAAUUAUAUUAUUUAUUUAUUUAUUCACUGGCGCCAGAGUCGGGAAUAAAAAAAAAUAUUGAUUUCAUUUAUUUUAUAGCUACGUAAUAUUUACCAACGCCAGAGUUGGAAAUAUUCGUAAUUAAAUAUUCACUGACGUCAGAGUCAUGAAUAUGAUAAUCAAAUUUUCAUAACAUAAACUAAUAAACAUUUAGCAAUUUAAGACGAAACUAGCAAUGCAGCCUGCUUCAGGCAGGAUGUUUAAGGGGUGAUAAUAUCUUCCCUUUUACGUAACCAGUCUCAAACCAUAUAAUCUUUGUUGACCAGUUAGGGUUCCUAGUGACCAUAAUACUAGGUGACGACUCCUUAAACAAGACUAUUCCCCAUUAAAAAACAGGAUGCCAGAAAUUUGUUCUUCCCAAAGAUUUAUUUAAUUUUUUAAGGCCGCCGUGAUGUCGGGUGCGACACCGUUAAUAAUAAUAAAAAAUUGAUUUAGUAUUUCCGACACCGUUAAUAAUAAUAAAAAAUUGAUUUAGUAUUUUGAUCAAAUAGUGUGGAGGACUGGAAAACCAACACACGGAAUCUCAUAGAGCCACCCAAGAGAGACCGGUAGGAAUCCAACUUUGAAAUGAUAUUCGAUAUGAUAUUUCAUUUUCAGAGAUUAUUCAAUACAAUUGGAUUAAUAAAUAUAUUUUAUAAAGAUAUUUUAAAAAUAAAAAAAUAAAAUAUAUUAUGUCUGAAAAUAUAGCAUCUCUUCUCUGUAUCUUUUAUUUUAAAAAUAUAAAAUUCAUUGUAAAAUUAUUUCAGAAAUAAAUUCUUCUUUCUUAGUUCGGAUACUUCCUCUCCAAUUUCCCGUUCACACACAAAUGAAUUAUAUAGCCUAUCUUUUCUCCGUUUCACACACAAAUGAAUAUAUGAACGUAAAAUUCUUCUUUCUUAGUUCGGAUACUUCCUCUCUAAUUUCCCAUUGAUAUUUAUUAUUAGUUUUGACCUACUAAUCUUCCCGUUGACUAGACAAAAAAUGGAAAGGCACAAGGCGUCUAGUACAUACAAACUUGUACUUUUAAGUGUUUGCUUAUAUAUACAUUUUAUAAUAUUGACUUGCAGCUUUACAGCGGCUUAAUAAUAAUUUUUAUUUUAAAUAUAAAAUUAUAAAUAUAAUUUUAAUUGUAUUGAAUCCAGCAAUAGCUCUAUCCAAUAAUUUUGGGUUUGGCUCCACAUAUACUUGGGUUUGGCUUUGCAUAGGCUUGGAUCUAGUUGCGGUCCUUAGAUCUAUCAUCAUAUUACAAUCAUAUAAAAAUAUCAAAAAAUAUUAAUUUAAAAUAAAGAAAAAUUUAAAAAAAUUUAAAAAUUUUUAAAUGUAUUUUUGAAACGCAAAAAUAAACAUGCUUUGAUAAGAAAAUUCAACUCAAUCUAACAAAACAUUAUCAUCACUCAACUUUUGUACAACAUAAAAAAGAUCACAUCAAUUUAUUUGCUCUUUACAAUAUGAAAAAAUAAAUAAGAGAAAAUAAAAAAAAUUUAAGAGGAAAAAAAUAAAAUUAAAAAUAUCUUAAAAAAAUUAGUUGUUAGUGUAUUGAGCACUGUUCUGCUAAGCGUUAUUCAUGAUGUAAUUGUAGAAAAUACUUUAGUUGGAGAUGAUAAUAAUGCAAAUACAUUUCGUGCUUUUAACCUAACUCAAACAUUUUUAUAUUUAAAAUUUUUUUGUUAUCGACCCGCUGUGGAGCACAUGCCAAUAUGCUAACUGAUAUAUUAUUAAGUAAUGAUUAUGUUUUUAAAAUAUAUUGAAAUAAUAUAUUUUUUAUUUUUUAUAUCAUCACAUCAAAAUAAUACAAAAAAUCAAAAAAUUAUUAACUUGAAUUAAAUAAAAAAAUAAAUAAUUUCAAAAAAAAUUUAAAGUAUUUUUGAAAGGAAAAAAGUAACAUGUUUUAAUAAGGAAAUUCAAGCCAACUUGAUAUGAAAACAAAUUAUCAUCACCUAAUUUUUAUACAAUAUUAAAAGAGUAAUAUAAAUUUAUUUUUUCUUUACCAUCUAAUAAAAGAAUUAAAUAAAAAAACAAAUCUAAAAAUAAAAUAAAAUAAAAUUAAAAAUAUCUAACAUCCCAAUAAAAUUCAAUAGUAUUAGGUCCGGUUCCUAAUCCCACCUAACAGUGGUGUGCCUGCUGAAAGCAUAUAAGACAAGGUAAGAAAGACCCCACAUCAUGAAAGGUCGACUAUAAUAAUGCAUCUCCAGGCAGCCUACUAAAUAACUCUUGAAGUGGAUUGCAGACUAACGAAGAUGGCUCCUGCACUCUCUGAUAUCUUGAGAAUCAUGUCUAGCUUACUUGUGCUUCUGUUACUAAUGUUUUCCAUGGGAGCAAUUAACUUGGAGGCCCAAGAUUUGAGCCUUGCUCCUGAUGAAGGUACAUACAUACAUAUAUAUAUAUAUAUAUAUAUAUAUAUAUAUUUAAUUUGAUUUUCAUACACUCUUCGAUAACGCAGUCAUCAAAUGUGAUUGUAUUUCCGAAUUCUGUAACCAUGUUAGUAAUGGCAUCAUGCAGUGAUUUUCUUACAGAAUUCUGUGUUUUCUGCAAACAUUUCUUGGCAAGGCAUUGUAGAAGCCACCAGCUAAUCAUCCCAGAAUUAGAAGUUGAGAUUUAAUUUUGAUUUAUGCAGUGGAAGCUCUACUUGAAGUAGCAACACAACUGGGCAAAAAGGGCUGGAAUCGCAAUAUGAAACUGUGCAAUGAUACAGAUGCUGACAAUAAAGUUGUUUGCAACUGCUCAUUUCCUGGGGGAGCGUGCCACGUUGUUGCCAUGUAUAUUUCUUCACUUACAACUCCAUGCUUUUAUUUUCAGUUUUAAUUUGAGGUCUCAAGGAUUCUGAUGGGGCUAAUUGAAGGAAUUAACAAAAUAUUACACUAUUGUUUUUUAAUUUUACUUUUCAAUAAUUUAAUAUCUUUUUUAAAAAAAAUUAAUUUUAAUACUAGAUUGUUUUAUGAAUUUUGCUUCAUAAUUUUCCUCGAUUCUUUUUAUUAGUAAUAUAGUGAUGUCAUGGAUUUAAAUUUUUUCUCAAUUUUAAUAUUAAAUAUGUUUUUAAUGAAAUUUUUAUUUUUUUAUGAAUUUAUUUUAAUUUAAUGAUGCAAGUUACAAGUUUAACAAAUUAACCCGGAUUUAAUUUUUCAAUUUUUUUGUCUGUUUUUAAUUUAAUAUUUUUUAAUUGGGCUUAGUCAUUUUUUUAUUUAAUUUCUGUAAGGUUAUAUCUUUAUUUUUUUUUUACCCUUCUACAACUGAUUUUUAUUUUAAAAUUUUAUCCUUCAUUAUUCGGCUUUUUGAAAAUCGAGUUUUGUAGUUUUUUUUUAAUUUGAUUUCUGUUGAGUUAUUUCGGUCUAAAUGAUUUGAUUUUUUUUCUUCGAUUUCAACUUUCAACAUUAGAUCUAUUACAAAUGGAGCUUUGUAAUUUUUUUAUUUGUUUUUUAUGACGUUAUUUUGUCUCUUGUCCUAAGUUACAAGUUUAAUAGGUUAGCUCGGGUUAAUUUAGGAAUUGUUUUUGUUAUUUUUAAUUGAUUUUUUAUACAAUUUCAACCUCUAACAUUGGGUUGGUUGAAAAUUGAUCUUCAUAUUUUUUUUUUAAUUUUUUUUUAUUGGGUUAUCUUGAUCUCAUGACUCGAGUUGUGGGUUUAGAGGUUGACCAUGGUUGACUUGGGUAGCUUUUUUUGUUCUUUUGUUUUCUAUUUUAUCCUUCAACAAUAUUGGGUUCAUUAGUAAUUGACCUUUAUAAUUUAUUUAUUUUUUUCUAUAAGGUAAACAUGAUCAAUUUAAUAUGUUAUUGUCUUAAUAUUUGAAAAAAACAAUAAUCCAAUAUAUCACCGAAUAAAUAUUUAAAAAAUAUGUCAUUUAAUAUGCAUUAUAUUUGAAGUUAAAAUAUAAUUUUUUUAUUAGAAAACAUAUUAAUAAUGCUUAAAUAGUUUUUUAUGCUAAAAAAAUAAUCCGUAGCACCGGAAAAUAAUACAGUAGAGGACUAUUUGUGGUGGAUUAAAUCUCCUCAUAAACCCCAUUCGAUAGUUGAAUUUUAUUUUGAGAAACUCAGAUGCAAUUCAAUAGCAGUAAAAUUAUAUAAAAACAAGCUAAACAUGUAGUGAAUAGCAAAGAAAGGAUCUGCAGCGAAGAAAAUGGUCUGUCUUGUAUUUUCUUGACAUAUGAUUGUUGAUUUGCAAUGGUUGAAAGUUUUGAAUUCUUACCUUGUAUUGAGGAGUUGAUGGGUGCAUGUGUUCUUGCAAUGCAGAUAUCUCAAAAGGCAAGAUCUUGACGGUACUCUCCCGAAGGCUAUCGAGAAACUUCCACACCUUAAACAUCUGUAAGCAGUGCUUCAAAUAAAUACAUUUGUACAGAUUGAGCACCGUGCAUUUGCAUUGAAUGAUUCGAUUUUAUUAUAAUUAUAUCUGCUCUGCAGAGAUCUCUGGGCCAACUACCUGAGUGGCAAUAUACCUGAAUGGGCUAAUACCAAGCUGGAAAUAUUGUAAGAAAAUACUGCAUUCAUGUUUUCUAGCCAAGGAAUUGCUUACUCAUAAUCAAUAGAUUGUAUAAACAACAGGUCUAUCGGCGUCAAUAACUUGACAGGAAAGAUUCCUGGCUAUCUGGGAAAUAUCACCACACUCAGAGCAUUGUAUGCAUUUUUCUGACUAGUCAAUUUCUUGUCUUUUAAUUUUAUAUUUAAAUAAGUUCAAUUGUUUAGUCAGGAGUAAUCCUGAGAGUUGGCAUUUAUGCAGCAACAUUCAGAACAAUAUGUUUUCUGGAACUGUUCCCCCUGAGCUUGGAGGCUUGGUUAACCUGGAGAAUCUGUCAGUUCAUUCAACCUUUUGAAUUUGAAAUUAAGUCCUAACUGAUUAUUGAAUGCUAAGUGUUUUUCUCCUUUUGUGAUUGCAGAACUCUCAGUGCCAAUAAUCUCACUGGAGAGUUACCCCCGGCUCUUAUUAAUCUGACCGGAUUGAAGGAACUGCAGGUUCUCAUUUCUCAUGGUUAUUGUGCAUCAUACUCAUUAGUUGCAGUAUUUUAUAUUUACUCUCCAAGUUUCAUGAUUCUGUGUUUUCCGUUCGGCGAAUGCAGAAGGCUUAGCAGCAAUAACUUCACUGGAAGAAUACCUGAUUUUAUUCAGAGCUGGAAACAACUUGAUACAUUGUAUGUGCUAGUUUCUACCACAAGCUCUGAAUCUCAUCACCGAAGCAGAACCCUAACCCCCCUUUAAUUUUGUAUUAACAGAGAGAUCCAAGCUGGUGGUUUCACUGGACCCAUUCCUUUGAACAUCUCUGUCUUGACUACUCUAACUGAUCUGUAAGAUAUUUGUUUUAAAUUUAUGGUCCCAGUUACAAGUUUAAUCCCAAACAUUAACAUUUUUAUGUUGUCUAAUAUUGAGCAGAAAAAUAAGUAACUUACUUGGAGAUGGUUCAGAGUUUCCCAACCUAGAAUCUAUAAAAGGCAUUAAGUAUCUGUGAGUUAUUCUCGCAGCUGAUACUCUCAUACCAGGAUCAAUUUAAUUUACAACACAGUAUAUAUUUAGCUUACAUGAAAUUAAUGUAUAUUGCAGGCUAUUGAGCAACUGCAACUUGUCAGGAAAGUUUCCCAUAUAUUUGACCAGAAUGGCACAGCUGAAAAUUUUGUAAUUUACUCUAUCCCUUAUACAUCAUCCUUUGUGUCAUUCAUCUACAUGAAGAUUGAAGUGUGAAUCUCAUGGAUACUUAGAGCUGCUGUCUUUAGAUUGCAGCUACAUUAUUAUUUGUAAAUAACUUUCAAAAUGCAUUAUGAACCAGGGAUCUCAGUUUCAACAGAUUAAAUGGUUCUCUUCCAACAAAUUUUGAUGGCCUAGAAGGCUUGGAGAAAAUGUAAGUAUAUUAUAUUAUAUUACCUUCUGAAAUUAAUGUUUGCCAUAUGGGUCAAUAUGCAUUUGCUUAGAUAAAAAAGUUGGCUCAAUCCUUUUUUCAAGUUUGUCGCCAGGUCGAGUACAACAAAUAUGAUGAUAAAUAUGAUGAUAAACUUGUUCUCCAGAUAGUCUUCUGCAAUGAUAGCCUUGGACAAGUGUUCAACCAAAUGACCAUUCUUACUUUCUGCAUAGGUAUCUUACAUGGAACAUGCUUACAGGACCCAUCCCAAAUUGGAUCAACGAAAGAGGUCCUCGCGUGUAUGUUAGUUUUUUUUUUUUUUUUUUUUACAAAUUAUGAUUUUUGAGAUUUUUGUUCGUAAUAUAUUUUCUUUUUACUCAAUUAGAAUUAUUGAAUAUUUUAUUAAUUAACUCUCCCCUGAAAGACAGAAAUGAUCAUCAACUUCAGUUUGCCUUUAUCGUAACAUUCUCAACCCAAAAGCUUAAUCAUGAACUUCAGGUUUCCAGAUAGUUUUCAGUACAGUUGUGCAUGAAUGAUCAAACUAUCUCCAAGGUUUCAUUUGGUUAUUGUCCUUUCUGUCCAAGCUAUACUGAUAGAAAGGAUAAAUACAGCAGGGACAAAAAUGGUUUUGUUGCAGUGAUGAAGAUGAAGAUAUAAAAAUAAAUUUGUCUCUGAGAUAAUUUUGGAUUGAAUUUUUAAAUGUUAAAAUUAGAAAAGACACGAGGUGAAGACAUGUCCUUUCUGUCUUCAUCUCUUCUGUCUAUUCAUCUUUUUUGUCUUGAGAUGGUAACCAAAAGCCAACCGAUUGCAAUAUCUUCCAAGUAUCUGUCUAUAAUAUGUGCAUGCGAUUUUCUAAAAAUUUCUGAAGUACUGGCUGAAUGUUUAAGGAAGCUAUCUUUGUGUGUAGCGAAAUCGAUCUUUCUUACAACAAUUUUACUUCGGAAGCAAAAUGUAGAGAAACACGGUAAGAUUGAUUUCAUUUUCCUUGCCUUAUCUUUGAUUUUGAAAGUCUGCUUCUUUUUACAUCACCAUUCACUUCAUAACCUACAAAACUUGACUCUUCUUGUCUUGCCAGAAAUCUGUUCAAAAGUACUUGGGGAGGGAACUAUUCGUAAGCUUCUACUUUAAUAGAUAUCUAAAACAUAGAUCAUUUUAUUUUCUUCUUCUCUGUCAUUUCUUUUAAAUAAGCUGAUGAUUCUAUCUGGCCAAUCUUUCCAGGAAACCUGUUGAGUGCCUGAGUGCUUGUUUAGAAGGUACUCUUAAUUUGUAAAGCUAUCCGCUUUUUCAUUUCACCUGGAACUAGACAGAAAAAUGAUGCAGGAACAGCCUGUCAGCCUAGACUAUUAAUUUAUUUCUCUAUUCAUUGGAUCAUAGCAUCUCAGUCAUAAACGCAAUGGUCCUUUUACCCCAUCAUGGAUCCGACCACUAGGAUUUCCAUCCCAAGAGGAAGAUGCUCUGCAUCAUCAACCUCUGGAAAGAAAUCGAAUCUAAGACCUUCAACUGGUGUAGGAAUAAACAACCAGUUGAUCCCAAAAGCCUAGACAAAUGUUAACAGUCAAGCUUAUUCCUAUAUUCAGUAGAUACUAUUGUCUCUGUCAUAAAUAUAAAGGUCCUAUUAUGUGUGGACCAUCCCAUCGGCCUUUGUGUGGGCAUUUACAUUGUGGGUCGCACAACGAUUUCCACUCUAGGAGGAAAAGGAUGCUCCUGCAUCACAAAAUCUUAAUUUGCUUUUGUGUUUGAUUGUUUCUGUUCUGUUUGCUCCGAUUUAGCAGACGCUCUGAUCCUAACAUUCUUGUGUUAUAAUCUGUUUAAUCAUAUCGGUGGCCAUGAACAUUUUUAUUUCUGUAUAUAGAGCAAUAUUCAGUGCACAUAAAUUGUGGGGGACCAGAAGCCACCAUUGGAAACACCAUCUACAAAGCAGAUGAUGAGCCAGGAGGUGCAGUAAAAUAUGUGCCCAAAAGAGAGGAGGAUUGGCAAAUAAGUACCACAGGACAUUUCUGGGAUAUUGAUCCUUCCUUGGAUAACUACAUAGCACAAAACAAGUCCAUGCUCAGAAUGGACGACUCUGUAUUGUACACAAAUGCACGCCUCACGCCUUUGUCUCUCACAUACCACGUUCGCUGUCUGGUAAAUGGGAAUUACACAAUCAAGCUGCACUUUGCAGAGAUAGUAAUGAGGGAUAACAGAUCCUACAACAGUCUAGGAAGACGGAUAUUUGAUAUUUAUAUUCAGGUAUCUAUUAAUUAAAAGAUCAUAGAUUCAUUCCUUAUGCAAUAGGUGACAGCUUAAUUGAAGAAUUGUUCUCGCAGGACAUUGUUGUGCUGAAGGAUUUUGAUAUAGUGAAGGCAGCGGGAGGGGUGCAUAAGGUAUACAUUCAUAAUUUUACAGCAAAUGUAACCAAUGGAGCUUUAGAGAUCCGUCUUCAUUGGGCUGGGAAAGGAACCACAACGUCUCCCAAAAAAGGAAUAUAUGGUCCUCUAAUAUCAGCCAUUGAUGUGGAAUCUGGUAGGUUGACAUAUAAUGGAAUGGCAAUGUAAUGAAGGAAUAAUUAGUACUGUGAUCUGACAAUACUUGCUCUUGCUGCAAUUCUAUUUCUGCCUAGACUUCAAGCCUCCUACUAAAGGCAGGAGGAAGAGAUUCAUUGUCGCUGGGGCUGUGGUUUUGUCAUUAUUCCUCGUUUUCAUACUUCUAUCCUCUCUCUGGUGGAAAGGUUAUUUGGGAGGAAGGACAUCGAGGGAUCGAGGUACAGUUGAUACAUUUAUUUGAUUUUGCAAAUUCUAGUGAGGAAUCCAGUCACUAAAAUAACACGGCAAUAAGCAAUUUUCUGCAUCUUAUUUGCUGUAUGUCUAUCCAUGAAUGCAUACAUUUGUCAAAAAAUUAUCUCAAUCCAAAAACGAAGCUAAAGGAAUGGUUUUAUAUUACUCUCUCUAACAAUGGUUUUUUCAAUGGGAAUUAUCAAUCUCAAUGCUGUUUAAUUGUAGGACUGCAAAAACCAUCUAUGUUCUUCCUUUGAUGAAUCAUUCAUGCAGAACAACUAAUAGAUACAUAUCCUCUUUGUUCCUUGGGCAGAACUUGUUGGGUUAGAUCUGCUAACUGGUAUCUUCACCUUCAGACAAAUCAAAGCUGCAACGAAUGACUUUGAUCCAGCAAACAAACUUGGAGAAGGUGGUUUUGGCUGCGUCUACAAAGUAUAGUACAGAUUUUUGUUUUCGUCUAGCUACUUGUCUACUAUAUUAUUUCUUUUCUCUUAUCGAAGCAUCAAGGAAUGGCCUCGGUGAACUUAUUUUGUUUGUCUAAAAUUAUUCUCAUUAUAGGGAGUACUAUCAGAUGGCACUCCUAUUGCUGUUAAGCAGCUUUCUGCGAAAUCAAAACAGGGGAAUCGUGAGUUUGUGAACGAAAUAGGCAUGAUUUCUGCUUUGCAACACCCAAAUCUUGUUAGAUUGUAUGGAUGUUGCAUUGAGGGGAAGCAAUUGUUGCUGGUAUAUGAAUACAUGGAAAACAAUAGCCUUGCUCAUGUUUUGUUCGGUAGGCCUCUGAUCACUUCCCCAUAGUAUCAUAUGUAAAGUAAUGAGAAAGAAAACAAGUUCUUUGAUAUGUGUAAGUAUAGAAGAAACUGAUGGGUUGAUAUAUGCAUGAUGAUUAAAGGGACAAAGGAAAUCCAGGCAACGAAGCUAGACUGGCGUACAAGGCAGAGGAUAUGUGUAAGUAUAGCGAAAGGUCUGGUUUUCCUGCAUGAGGAGUCGACACUCAAAAUUGUUCAUAGAGACAUAAAAGGUACCAAUAUCCUUCUUGACAAGGUCAUGAACGCCAAGAUAUCUGAUUUUGGAAUGGCCAAGCUUGAUGACGAGGACAACACCCACAUCGACACCAGAGUUGCUGGAACAAUGUGAGUUUCUGAUAUCAACACAAGUGGUUUAUUGAACAAACUGUAAGGAAAACACACAAGUAUUGUCAUUUAUCUAAGAUAGCUUUUAGUCUUAAACAGUAUGAUGCUGUGACUGGGCUCAAGUGCCGAUGGAAGGGGUUAGCUUCAAAAUAUGUGGUAGACAGGCAUCUAGGGUUCAAAUCACACACCACAGGGUUCUCAUGGAUCAGGGUUUCCCCAUCUAUGGCUGUGUUCCUCUAAGACUAACCCUUGGAGAGGUUUAGUCUGGUUCACGUUAUCAUCCAGGGUUCGAAAUCCUGUUUAGGCUGCAAGAAAUAUAAUUUUGCCUAUCGAAAACAAAAACAAGCAAUAGACAUUAGCAUUUUUUACAUGUUUUAUUGAAGCAAACUAGUAAAAUGUCUGAGUUAUUCUUUCUGUGCAGGGGAUACAUGGCACCGGAAUAUGCAUUAUAUGGUUACUUAACUUACAAGGCAGAUGUAUACAGCUUUGGUGUUGUAGCAUUGGAAAUUGUUUCUGGGAUGAACAACGUCAAAUUUAGGAGGGAUGAGAAUUUUGUUUGCCUUCUAGAUUGGGUAAGUUAUGCCCAUUUAGUCUCUUAAUUGUCUGUUCAUGUUUACUCUUCGUCAGCUAUAUAUCUAUUUUUUUUUUAUUAUUUCAGGUUCUAUAUUUACAAAAAAAUGGGGACAUAAUGGAGAUGGUUGAUCCAAUAUUGGGGUCUGAAUUCAACAAGAAAGAAGUGGUUAGAAUGAUCAAUGUAGCCCUGCUAUGCACAAAUCAAUCUCCAGCACUUAGACCUACAAUGUCUACAGUAGUGAGCAUGCUUGAAGGAAAAACUGAUGUCGAGGAACUCGUCAUGGUUCCAAGCACAUUGGGUGAUCCAUCAGGGUUUUCUACGGCCUUACAUAACAAGUUUGCUCGAUCUUCUGUCAAUGG
This 36939-nucleotide long non-coding RNA is filed under the name Populus tremula. RNAcentral's name for it is "long non-coding RNA (PTRE_LNC001708)". Lineage: Eukaryota; Viridiplantae; Streptophyta; Magnoliopsida; Malpighiales; Salicaceae. The record is from RNAcentral.